This 511-nucleotide ribosomal RNA is filed under the name uncultured bacterium. Its description in RNAcentral is "bacterial SSU rRNA". It matches the Rfam family "Bacterial small subunit ribosomal RNA", at positions 11 to 535 of the family's 1533-position model. The record is from RNAcentral.
GUUUGAUCCUGGCUCAGAAUUAACGCUGGCGGCAUGCCUAAGACAUGCAAGUCGAACGAGAAAGCAUCUUCGGGUGUGAGUAGAGUGGCGCACGGGUGAGUAGUACUUAGGUAACUUACCCUCUCGCUGGGGAUAACUAGGGGAAACCCUAGCUAAUACCGAAUGCCCCAAUUUUUUCUGCGGAUUAAAUUGGGAAAGCUUCACAGCGCGAGAGGAGAGGCCUGAGCCCCAUUAGCUUGAUGGUAAGGUAACGGCUUACCAUGGCACCGAUGGGUAGCUGGUCUGAGAGGAUGAUCAGCCACACUGGCACUGGAACACGGGCCAGACUCCUACGGGAGGCAGCAGUUAGGAAUAUUGCGCAAUGGAGGAAACUCUGACGCAGCAAUGCCGCGUGAGUGAGGAAGGCUUUCGGGUUGUAAAGCUCUUUUAGUGGGGAAGAAAAAAAUGACGGUACCCACAGAAAAAGCACCGGCUAACUCCGUGCCAGCAGCCGCGGUAAUAAGGGCGAAUU